Molecule: ribosomal RNA, 348 nt
Filed under: uncultured bacterium
Lineage: Bacteria
Description: bacterial SSU rRNA
Rfam family: Bacterial small subunit ribosomal RNA
Source: RNAcentral
AAUGCUUUCGGGCAUGAGUACAGUGGCGGACGGGUGAGUAACGCGUAGGAACCUACCUGGUAAUGGGGGAUAACUCGGGGAAACUCGAGCUAAUACCGCAUACGCUCUACGGAGGAAAGAGGGCCUCUAUUUAUAAGCUCUCGUUAUCAGAGGGGCCUGCGUUGGAUUAGCUAGUUGGUAGGGUAAAGGCCUACCAAGGCGACGAUCCAUAGCUGGUCUGAGAGGACGAUCAGCCACACUGGAACUGAGACACGGUCCAGACUCCUACGGGAGGCAGCAGUGGGGAAUCUUGGGCAAUGGGCGCAAGCCUGACCCAGCCAUGCCGCGUGUGCGAAGAAGGCCUUCGGG